AGCUCAGUAACACGUGGCCAAACUACCCUGUGGAUGGGAAUAAUCUCGGGAAACUGAGGCUAAUUCCCAAUAAUGCUCCACCCCUGGAAUGGGUGGAGCUGGAAACGCUACGGCGCCACAGGAUGUGGCUGCGGUCGAUUAGGUAGACGGUGGGGUAACGGCCCACCGUGCCAAUAAUCGGUACGGGUUGUGAGAGCAAGAGCCCGGAGACGGAAUCUGAGACAAGAUUCCGGGCCCUACGGGGCGCAGCAGGCGCGAAACCUUUACACUGUACGCAAGUGCGAUAAGGGGACUCCGAGUGUGAAGGCAUAGAGCCUUCACUUUUGUACACCGUAAGGUGGUGCACGAAUAAGGGCUGGGCAAGACCGGUGCCAGCCGCCGCGGUAAUACCGGCAGCCCGAGUGAUGGCCGAUAUUAUUGGGCCUAAAGCGUCCGUAGCUGGCCGGACAAGUCCGUUGGGAAAUCUGUCCGCUUAACGGGCAGGCGUCCAGCGGAAACUGUUCGGCUUGGGACCGGAAGACCUGAGGGGUACGUCCGGGGUAGGAGUGAAAUCCUGUAAUCCUGGACGGACCACCGGUGGCGAAAGCGCCUCAGGAGGACGGAUCCGACAGUGAGGGACGAAAGCUAGGGUCUCGAACCGGAUUAGAUACCCGGGUAGUCCUAGCUGUAAACGAUGCCCGCUAGGUGUGGCGCAGGCUACGAGCCUGCGCUGUGCCGUAAGGAAGCCGAAAAGCGGGCCGCCUGGGAAGUACGUCUGCA
This 759-nucleotide ribosomal RNA is filed under the name Halobacterium sp. RNAcentral describes it as "bacterial SSU rRNA". It matches the Rfam family "Archaeal small subunit ribosomal RNA", at positions 87 to 845 of the family's 1478-position model. The record is from RNAcentral. Lineage: Archaea; Methanobacteriati; Methanobacteriota; Halobacteria; Halobacteriales; Halobacteriaceae.